GUCGGACACUCAACCAACUGAGCCACCCAGGCGCCCCGAUACCAGUUAUUAGUAUAACCAUGAAUGAAAGGAAUAACUUGGCCUACAGCUUAGCAACUGCCACCGUCAUUAACUGCAAGAAUUAGAUGGUGAAACUGAAGUUCUGCUCUGUGGGAUACGGUAUGAGUGGCGCCAUGAACUCAGGGCUGGGUGCCCCGAGCUGUUGGGACCACUUGAGAGUCCACAUUAAGAAGCAGAUGUUCUCCUUCACCUCUGGGAAAUCUGGGAUGUGUGGAUGAUCAGAGGCUACCAGAAGACACGUAUGGAAGCAGCUCUAAAGGUAGACUCCUGUAAAUUCUGUAAGUAGGAAACUUUGUUGUCAGCAUGUGCCCGGUUUCCCUCUUGGUGCACUCCUCUCUCUUAAAGAUGUACCUAAUGCCCUCAAGCUGUGUUCUGGGUCUCCAGUGGACCUGUGGGUCUACUUAAGGUGUAGAGACUACCCGGGAUCUAGCUCUCAGACCAUCCGCUGCUUCAGACUUUCUGUCACCUCAGGGUAUGGAGACCAUAUGGUCUAAGCUACAAAUAGGCUUGCCUAGAGUAAAAGUGUGAAGUAAAAGUAAAAAUAAAGAGCCUAAAGUAAAAAUGUGCUGAAGAGAACCACAGGGCAGAGUAUAUAAAAUUAAAAUGAUCCCAGAGAAUCACCCUGGAAGAUAUGCUUUAUGAGGGGGAGGAUCUUGUCUGUUCAGUUCACACCACAAUCCCUAGCACCUGCCUACUAUGUAGCCCAUAGUAGGUGACCCACAAAUAUUUUUAGACUCAGUGAAUGAACAUAUAAAGUCAGGAUGUAUGGUCCAGUGUAAGUGCCAUUCAGCAAGGUACCUGCUCUUAUCCCAGCAGGCUGUGAGUUAGAAAAGAGCAGGUCAUCUACUGCAGACCUUGAUUUUAGUGACUGACAAGAACAGACCAGGAGGAACUCAGGAGUCAGACACUGAUGGAGAAGGAGAUGACUUAGGCUUAAAGAAAGGAAAAUACAUGUUUAUUGAAUGCCUGUGCUUUACUCACAUUAUCAGUUUUGCUUGGUGCAGUAGCCCUGAAAAGUAAGUCUUAGUCUGUAUGUUUUAUUAAUUAGGAAACUGAGAUAGGCAUGCUAGCAAGAGGCUGAGCUAGGAUUUGUACCCAGAUAUUUUUGAUCCAAAGCUCAUCCUGUUUAGAUAAACUGGUGAUGGAAGAAGAGGGGCUUCUCCAAAAAUUUGACUAGAUCAUGGCACGAGUUUAAUGUAACGUCUCCUGUGCCUCCAAUAUGACUCUAUAGGACAUUACCUCCAACUACCCACAGCUCCCUGACUCAGCUUCUCAGUGACUCUCCAUUCAGAAUUCCUGAUGAGAAUCAGUUGACCCAGCUUGUAGAGAAUAUAAUAAGCAGGUACAAAUGUAGCUUAAUGUACUCAUCUCCUUGUUAGGACAAAAGUAGAACAAGAGUCCUUUAAAUCAGAGUGGCUAUGGGAAGACAGCUGUCAGUAUUUCUAGGAUAAACAGGUGCAGCUGACAUCCACCUGCAAUCUUAUUCCUCCUUUUGUUCUUCCAUGAGUAUCUGUCCCUAUUUUUCUGCCAAAAUGAGAUGGUUUUACUCUUUUUACUUCUUACCCUUGCACAAGGUACAUUAUAUUGGAGUCUGUUGUCAACAGAGUCGUAGGUAACUGAUGUAUGUUAAAUAUUAUAUAUAUAAACUGUGCACCUUUGGGUGCUGCUAAAGUAAUGAUGCCUCUUGGCAUUUACUGAUAAAAUAAGACAAGCUGUUUAUUCAUUCAUCUGGCCCUUGAAGCUGGCUUUUGAAUGAGGAGGACUAAGUUUGGGAGUCGGCCUUUGCUUUCACUGUAGCUGUGUGAGAUCAAUCACUGCAAGGACUGUGGUAAAAGUAAAGGAGGUAUAGGAGAGCCCCACACAGAUUUUCCUUGAAGAGAGACCCUGCUGCAGGGGGCACAGUGAACUUUGCAAAGGGAAUCCCAAACAAACAGCUUUGCCAUGCCUUCUCCCAUGAGAUUUGAAGUUUCUUUUAUUUCCUGCCCACUCAGAGCUAAGAUAGCGGUAGGAGGAAAGCCAGUGUGCUGUUAAAUGGUGCGUUUGGGUUUGGAAUGAUCUGGCUUAGUCAUUUCAUUAGGGAAUACCCAACUGUCAGAAUUUUAGGAUCUUUCCUCGUGGGAUGGUAUCUUAGUCCAUUCAUGGCAAUGUAGGCUUUUUCUAGCAUGCCCUUCAAAAUUCUUCCAGCCUCUACCCAUUACCCAAUUUUAAAGCCACUUCACAUAUUUGGGUAUUUGUUAUAGUAGCACCCUACUUCUUUCUCAGUACCAAUUUCUGUCUUAGUCCACUUUGGUUGCUACAGCAAAAAUACCGUAUCUUUAAAAAAAAAUGCCAUAGACUGCGUGGCUUAUAAACAACAGAAAUUUAUUUCUCACACUCUGGAACCAAGAUCAAGGUGCUGGCAAAUUCUUUGUUUGGUGAGGGCCCACUGCCUAGUUUCUGGAUGGCUGUCUUCUCACUGUGUUCUCACAUGGCAGAAAGGGUGAAGGAGCUCUGGGGUUUCUCUAAUAAGAGCACUAACCCCAUUUGUGAGGGCUCUGCCCUUAUGACCUAACCACCCCGAAAUGCCCUACCUACAAAUACUAUCUCACUGGGUUUAGGAUUUCAAUAUCUGAAUUAUGGAGAGACACAUUUAGUCUAUAGCAGAUGGUCUGUUUCCCCAAAGAUGAAUCUCAUCUUUUUGCUGGGGUAUAUAAGCCUGAUUUGCAGGGUUCUGAGAGUCAUGUGGGGAGAGGGUAUAUGUUUGAGUAUGUGGAGCUGGGCGAAAAUUUUCACCAUUCAGCAGUUAGACUUUCACUUCAUCCCCCUAUUUUCAAUAGGGCACAACCUCCCUCAGCUUUGUCUGUCAUUCCUGAAUCUGCAUCUCUCUGGUCCAUUUGCUUGACAAGAAAGUUCUCUGUUCUUGCUUUCUGCUCAAAUGGGGGAAAAGACUGCUUGCUGCCUGCAGCAAAGAAUAGGAAAAGGUGGUCUGAGUCUAACUUCUCAUAGAAUCUUUCAAUGAAUUCUCUUUUCAAGUUUGUCUUCCACCUCCAAGUUCAGAGACAUUAGUAUCUCCCAUUUCUUCUAAAAUUUUGUUGCAGCUGUCUCCCCCCUCUGUUCUGUUUGUCUCAAUUUAUGCUCCCCCUGCCCCAUUUUAUUUUGAUGAGGUUUGAGGUAGAAUAGGAGGUAAAUGCAUGGGUUCAGUCUUUCAUGUUUAACCGAAGGCUCCUCCCAGGAGCUCUGGAGGGUCUGCUUGGCAGCAGUUACUCCUGUUGGGUGGGUGGGUGGAUGAGGGGUGGUUACAGAAAGGAAUGUAAGCUUUUAAACUUUAAAGGUAGGUUAAGCUUGGGAGAUCAUAUCCAACUCCAUGAUUUGACCCUGAAGACAAUGGAGAACCUCUGUAAUCUGCUGAGUAUGAGUAGAAUUAACUCCAGACAGCUCAGACUUCAAAGCAUGUAACUUUUUGUAUUGUCACUAAGUUAAUUUUUUGAGUUGCCUAGGACAGGACUACAGCUGGGUGAUGCUGGGGUAAGAUGAUCAAGAAGCCACCAAAAAAAUGCCAGCCUGGUUUUCCUUGGGUAUACAAAAAUCUCCUGCAAAUUCAGUUAUUCUUUAAUAAUUAGUAACUUACCGAUCUGGUUGAAUGGGAAGAUUGGUUACAUAUAGAGGAUUUAUCAAUUAAGUAAAAAAUAUUGAGAAUUAUUAAAGAAGUUACAAAUAUAGAGAAGAGAAAAGCUAGAUUGACUCGUGAUAUUUGAUUGGAUUUGGAGAUACA
Molecule: long non-coding RNA, 3811 nt
Organism: Felis catus (domestic cat)
Lineage: Eukaryota; Metazoa; Chordata; Mammalia; Carnivora; Felidae
Exons: 4
Source: RefSeq, a predicted model, not a curated record